RNAcentral lists this ribosomal RNA (253 nucleotides) under uncultured bacterium. RNAcentral's name for it is "partial 16S ribosomal RNA". It matches the Rfam family "Bacterial small subunit ribosomal RNA", at positions 524 to 776 of the family's 1533-position model. The record is from RNAcentral.
AACGUAGGGCGCGAGCGUUGUCCGGAUUUAUUGGGCGUAAAGAGCUCGUAGGCGGCUUGUCGCGUCGACUGUGAAAUCCCGCGGCUCAACUGCGGGUCUGCAGUCGAUACGGGCAGGCUAGAGUUCGGUAGGGGAGACUGGAAUUCCUGGUGUAGCGGUGAAAUGCGCAGAUAUCAGGAGGAACACCGAUGGCGAAGGCAGGUCUCUGGGCCGAUACUGACGCUGAGGAGCGAAAGCGUGGGGAGCGAACAGG